GAAUAUCGUUAUCUAUGGUUAGGUAGAUUAAUUGCAAAUUAAUUCUUAUAGGGUUCGAUUCCCUCGAUAUUCU
Yamadazyma jaroonii is the source of this 73-nucleotide non-coding RNA. The record is from the annotation of a GenBank genome assembly. NCBI's taxonomy places the organism in Eukaryota, Fungi, Ascomycota, Pichiomycetes, Serinales, Debaryomycetaceae.